GAGAUAAUAAUUAUUCAUUCUAGACCUAAUCAAAAUGUACCAACCAUUGGCAUAAAAUGCAGUCAGACUAGGAUAAGACAAAACUCAAACUUCAAGCCUUUAUCAACAACAAAACAGGAGCGGGGAAAGAGCUAAAAUAUCGAGAUAUUCAAAAGAGAAUCCAACAUACUACUCCCAGCAGCAAAAGAAGUAUAGAACAGACAUCCUAGAAUUCAAAUUUAUUUAAGUUGGAACGAGAAAAGAAAGUGAUUAAGUGAACAAAUACACACUCAUAAGCUCACUGGAAAACAUUUAAGAAAUGACAACAACAAAUAGAUAAAAGAACAGCCAAUCCUAACAUCAACUAAUCUUCUGGAAACAAAUUCGAACAUCAAAAUGAGGGAAAAGGAAACUUAAAGCUAACUAAAAGUUCAACAAAUUGCAGGUCAGAUCAACUUAAUAAACCGUAUACUAAGCUAGUUUUUGAAAAUCAUUUUUAGAAAAUAAGUU
This 489-nucleotide unclassified non-coding RNA is filed under the name Hevea brasiliensis (rubber tree). The record is from RNAcentral. Lineage: Eukaryota; Viridiplantae; Streptophyta; Magnoliopsida; Malpighiales; Euphorbiaceae.